AUUGAACGCUGGCGGCAUGCCUUACACAUGCAAGUCGAACGGCAGCACGGACUUCGGUCUGGUGGCGAGUGGCGAACGGGUGAGUAAUGUACCGGAACGUACCUUUCAGUGGGGGAUAACGUAGCGAAAGUUACGCUAAUACCGCAUAUUCUGUGAGCAGGAAAGCAGGGGACCGCAAGGCCUUGCGCUCUUUGAGCGGCCGAUGUCAGAUUAGCUAGUUGGUGAGGUAAAGGCUUACCAAGGCGACGAUCUGUAGCGGGUCUGAGAGGAUGAUCCGCCACACUGGAACUGAGACACGGUCCAGACUCCUACGGGAGGCAGCAGUAGGGAAUUUUGCGCAAUGGGCGAAAGCCUGACGCAGCGACACCGCGUGGAGGAUGAAGGUUUUCGGAUCGUAAACUCCUUUUGGCAGGGAGAAAAUGACGGUACCUGCAGAAUAAGCACCGGCUAACUACGUGCCAGCAGCCGCGGUAAU
Molecule: ribosomal RNA, 475 nt
Filed under: uncultured bacterium
Lineage: Bacteria
Description: bacterial SSU rRNA
Rfam family: Bacterial small subunit ribosomal RNA
Source: RNAcentral